This is a long non-coding RNA of Mangifera indica (mango), 349 nucleotides long. RefSeq lists it as uncharacterized. The transcript has 2 exons. The record is from RefSeq and is a predicted model, not a curated record. NCBI's taxonomy places the organism in Eukaryota, Viridiplantae, Streptophyta, Magnoliopsida, Sapindales, Anacardiaceae.
UAUUGCCAAAAUCUGAGAAGCAGAGUUGGUUCAAUGCGGCGAACCAGAGAAGCUCAAGGAAAAAAGAAUUGAUGGAAUGCGAGAGUGUUGGAACUGAAGGCCAAGAAAAAAAAAUUCGGAAGAUCACAGGAGCAAUUCGGAACGUUGCUCUGAUACCAUGCCAAAAUCUGAGAAGCAGAGUUGGUUCAAUGCGGCGAACCAGAGAAGCUCAAGGAAAAAAGAGUAAAAGAAUUCUGAUUUUAUUUCUUGUAUACUAAUCUUUACAUGCAAUGGCUUUAUAUAUUGUAAACUACAAUGUAUUUUCGGUAACAUAAUAUUAUACAAUCAAUAUAAACAUGAUUCUAGGGGU